GUGGGGAAUCUUAGACAAUGGGGGCAACCCUGAUCCAGCCAUGCCGCGUGAGUGAUGAAGGCCUUAGGGUCGUAAAGCUCUUUCGCCGGGGAAGAUAAUGACUGUACCCGGUAAAGAAACCCCGGCUAACUCCGUGCCAGCAGCCGCGGUAAUACGGAGGGGGUUAGCGUUGUUCGGAAUUACUGGGCGUAAAGCGCGCGUAGGCGGAUCGGAAAGUUGGGGGUGAAAUCCCGGGGCUCAACCCCGGAAUUGCCUUCAAAACUCCCGGUCUUGAGGUCGAGAGAGGUGAGUGGAAUUCCGAGUGUAGAGGUGAAAUUCGUAGAUAUUCGGAGGAACACCAGUGGCGAAGGCGGCUCACUGGCUCGAUACUGACGCUGAGGUGCGAAAGCGUGGGGAGCAAACAGGAUUAGAAACCCGGGUAGUCC
RNAcentral lists this ribosomal RNA (425 nucleotides) under uncultured bacterium. Its description in RNAcentral is "partial 16S ribosomal RNA". It matches the Rfam family "Bacterial small subunit ribosomal RNA", at positions 354 to 796 of the family's 1533-position model. The record is from RNAcentral.